CAGCCGCCGCGGGAAUACAGAGGGUGCGAGCGUUAAUCGGAUUUACUGGGCGUAAAGCGUGCGUAGGCGGCUUUUUAAGUCGGAUGUGAAAUCCCUGAGCUUAACUUAGGAAUUGCAUUCGAUACUGGGAAGCUAGAGUAUGGGAGAGGAUGGUAGAAUUCCAGGUGUAGCGGUGAAAUGCGUAGAGAUCUGGAGGAAUACCGAUGGCGAAGGCAGCCAUCUGGCCUAAUACUGACGCUGAGGUACGAAAGCAUGGGGAGCAAACAGGAUUAGAUACCCCUGUAGUCCCUGUCUCUUUACC
RNAcentral lists this ribosomal RNA (301 nucleotides) under uncultured bacterium. RNAcentral's name for it is "partial 16S ribosomal RNA". It matches the Rfam family "Bacterial small subunit ribosomal RNA", at positions 509 to 808 of the family's 1533-position model. The record is from RNAcentral.